This 17700-nucleotide long non-coding RNA is filed under the name Coffea arabica (coffee). Its description in RNAcentral is "long non-coding RNA (CARA_LNC007546)". Lineage: Eukaryota; Viridiplantae; Streptophyta; Magnoliopsida; Gentianales; Rubiaceae. The record is from RNAcentral.
AAGCUGUGGCAUCUUGAAACCACAACCAGAUACCAGUUCACUUAGAAAGUUUGAAACACCAUGAAGUUCACCUACACUUUGUCCCUUCUGGUUUUGUGCCUAACUUUGUACUUAACCUUCACCAAUGCUGCAAAUUUCAACAUUAUAAACCAAUGUACCUACACAGUUUGGGCAGCUGCUUCCCCAGGCGGUGGCAGGCGGCUCGACCGAGGCCAAUCAUGGUCCCUAAACGUGGCUCCUGGCACCACCCACGCUCGCAUUUGGGGCCGAACCAAUUGCAACUUUGAUGCCAAUGGCCGAGGCCAAUGUCAAACAGGUGACUGCAACGGGGGCCUCGUAUGCCAAGGCUAUGGAAAGCCUCCGAAUACACUAGCUGAAUUCGCCCUAAACCGGCCUAACAACGUAGACUACAUCGACAUUUCCAACGUUGAUGGAUUCAACAUCCCAAUGGAGUUCAGCUCCGUUACUCGUUGCCGUAAUAUCAGAUGUUCAGCGCCUAUUGUUGAUCAAUGCCCAGCUAAGCUAAGAACUCCAGGUGGAUGCAACAAUCCCUGCACUGUCUUUAAAACAAAUGAGUUCUGUUGCACCAAUGGCCCAGGAAGCUGCCGCCCGACCGACUUCUCCAGGUUCUUUAAGAGCAGGUGCCCUGAUGCUUAUAGCUAUCCUCAAGAUGAUCCCACAAGCUUGUUUACUUGCCCAAGUGGUACAAAUUAUAGGGUUGUCUUCUGCCCUUAAAUAAAGCUAGAUAUUUAAGGUUCUUGUGACAGCUUAUAUGCUCCAAGAACUUCACUAGAAAAGUAGAUUAUGAGAAAUAAACGCAUAUGUGAACCUUCUGGUAAUGGUUCACUGGAAUUGGGAUAAAUUUGAGCACAUAUAGCAUUGUGCGGUUUGUCUUCUUUAUCAGCUUUUUGGCUUUAUAAACUACUUAUGAACUAGAUGACCAGUUCAAAACUAAUGAAGUUUUACUAAAUUAAUCAGUAAGAAGGAUUUACGGAUCUCUAGUUUUAAAUUAGAUUGUCAAAAUACUUUGUUCCCCACACUUCGAAAAUUUGAGUCAUGUUUAGGUUUAACUUACAUAGGAGAAUUCCUUUUUUUUUUUUUUUCUGAAAUUCAGACCAUCUCUCCAGUCAAAUACUAAGAUGUCAUAUAAAUCAAAUUAAUUUGUUUAAGUGUAUUACACAAUCAUACUUCAUGUAUAUAAAUGUUACCACAAAAUCAAGAGUAAGAAAAGUUUGUCUUGCAACUAUUCAAGAAAUGGAAGCUUGGUGUAAAUUCAAAACAAAAAUGGAGAUUUCUAUACUAAGGUAAACCCCAAAAUAAUUGAAAAUGAUAAUCUCAUGAAAUAACAAAGAUGGUGAGAUGAAAGAUUACUAAGUAAGAUAAAGGUGCGAUUAAGGCGUUCAAUCGAGGAAACUUGUAGAUGCCAAAUUGACAAUUUGAUGCACAUAUGCUUAAUAGUAUUCAAGUGUUCAUUCUUAAAAGUUGGAAUUGGGCCAAUAUUGUAAUUCAGCCCGGUUGUAUAUUUAUUACAUUAUACUGUUAUAUUCAUGGAAACAGUGAUGUAAAUGAAUAAAACAUUUCAUCUACAGUGAAUAUAAUAUUAGGGUAAAUUAUUUAUAAUUCUUCUGUAAUUUUAUAUAAUGUCAGACGAUCUCCCAUAUGUUUCAAAAUAGUCACAUCACCCCCUAUGAUUUUAUGUAAAGCAGAGAAUAAAUAAAAAGUACUAUCAAUUACAAUGUGUAUACCAAACGUGCUCUAAAAAUAUGUGUCAUAAAAUCUUAGUUUUCAUGUAAUCCACUUAUGAGAUGUAUAAUUAUCCACUUUACCUCCUAUAAUUUUUGUAUUUAUCCAAAUAAUCCCCUAUGCUUUUAUAUAAGAUAGUUAAACUGUCAAUUGAUUUAGCAUUUAUACAAGGGCACUAUUAAUAUGUUAAUUAAUAGUCGUCCAAGCAACCAUCAAGACACAGCCAACAGAACAAGCUAUUAGCAACUCAAAUUUUAUCAAUCAUUACAUGUACUAGAGCUUAAUUGGCAAGGAAGAAGUGAAUUUACUUGGCUUUUAAUUCGUUCUUUAUCCUCGAAGCAGUCUUUGCAUAUCUACCAGAGGGAAUUUUGUCAAUGUAUUAACUGCAUUUCCCUGCUUCACUAAUGGUUAGAACAUAAAUAAAGCAAGGUGUUCUGGAACAACGUCAAAUCAAACAUAAAACCAAUUUAUGCAUGACAAGGGCAGAAAUUAAGGUCAAUACAUGCUGCUAAAUUUACUCCAUUACCAAGGACAACUUCACCGAUGAUCUUGGGAUUUGUAGUAGUUGUUGCGAUGGUGAACAACCAUGGUGCUGUACUUGUAAUCUGUCCUUGUACAAGACCAUUAUUUCCUGCCGAUUACAGUAAGUAUUCCCUUCUGUGCUGCAUGAAAAGAUCCAAUUGCUAUAGAAUUAUCUUUCAAUCAACCGGAUAAUUGAAACCAAUUAAAAUUGUAAUAAUGUCUACUCCAUCGGCUAUAGCAUCGUUGAAUCAAGCCAAUAUAUCAGCAUCAUCACAGCAUGGAAAAGCACAAGCAUUGUAUACAGCAUUCCUUGCUGCAGGCGCCCCUCCUCGUAUAGUACCUUCUACAAUUCCAUAGUAACUCACAUCCAUGACAAUGUUUCCUGCAGCUGUGUGCGUUCCAUUAUGACCCUAUAAAUCUGUUGCAGAAUCUGAUACAUGGUACCGAGCUCCAAUAAUUUUUCUGUAGACAUGUACACAUCAAAAUGAUAAUCGAAGUUUCCCAUUCAACAUUUCCUAUGUAAACUAACAAAAAGUAGAAACUUUUCCUGUUGCACAUGAAAUCAAUCCCGCCGUAACACACUCCUUUCCAUUUGCUGGGAAUAGGACCAAAACUUUGUUCACGAAAACUCUCUGAUUCUGGCCAAAUUCCAGAAUCAAGUAACUCCUAUGACUAUAUCACUCUCAAAUGCAAGAUUUCGGGGGGCACUUAUAGGAAAACAAAUAAAGUCGCACGAUGCUGUUGUAUAAGUUGAAGCCUUUUGCUUGGAAAUAUAGAAACCACAUGAUCAUGAGCUGCAAAUUUAGUUAAGAACUCACACAUUAGUGGAAGAUUAAUAGAUUUCAAAAAUCAGGAAAGUUGAAAGAGACUAACGUUGCAAAAUUGCACAGACCAGCCAACUUUUGCUGCUCUUGCUUUGUAAGGUAGGCUGAAAAUCCAUUGAAACUCCUAGUAUAACUUCUUCCCAAGAUUUCCCCUUGAUAAUUUCCAUGACAUAAAGAAAAAGAAAUAAAUAAUGUUAUAAAAAAGUUUUUUUUAUGCAUCAAUUGGUAUGUAGUAUAAGUUUGUGGGCACUGAAUAUAUGCAUUAAUUGCUAUCUUAAGCUUCUUCCAGGAUACUAACAUGGUGCUCGGAAGCUGAAUAUUCUCUUUCAGGAUGCGAUUCCACGUAAACUGUAAACCUGUCAUCAAGUAAAAGAAAACUAUCAUUUCUUGACUUGCUGCAUGUUAUUGAAUUUGAACGCUUCAGUUAUGCGACAGUUAUAUUUAUCGUGUAAAAUGUUGUAGUUAUGAUCACUACAUUGAAGUACAAUGCUGCAAAUUCAAUAUAUUACCCGAUACGCAUUAAUCAAAGAAAAUUAAUCUUUUACAGAAAUGAAAAGAGAAGAUAUCAAUGGCACUAUUGCCAAUACUGAUGGGCAACAUAUCCAGUUCUAUAGGCAACAUUAGCCAUUGUUUUCAGGAAUUACAUUUUCUAGCUCCAACUAUAUAUUGUUACUUAUGUUCCUUAAUGUAUGUUAAUCUCUAUUAGUACAUUUUUUCAGACCUAAAAGAUUUCUGGGUCGUACAAUACGAAAUCAAAAGGUGAUGUGUACAAAUGGUCCUUAGAAAGGGUAAGCCUGUCUCUUAGGACUUAAAUACAAGGAUCAAAGAUGCAUGUCCCAUUUUGUGCAUAAUUAAUAUCAAAAACCAACCUGAUUUGUUUAGAAAAGUUUGUUAAAACAAUGCAACAUUACCUUUAGUCAAAAAUCGUGGGCUAUUGUUGCAUUUAUGAGUUACAUAAAAGUCAUCCAUACAGGCAGAAGAAAUCCAGCAUUUCUUGCGGCUUUGGAGUGCUUCGUUUUUACUCAUGCUUGUAUCUUGAGCCAGAUUUGAUAUCUCAAGAAUGAGACUCUGAUAAGAUUAGAGUAAGUAUGCUCAAGAUUUGAAGCGAGGCUCAACUUAGUAAUGUUUUGUGCAAGAUUAUUUGUGAGUGUUGUUAUUUUAUACAUUUUUUUAGUGUAAUGUAUUAUUUGUUUGCCUUUAUUAUCAGUAGACUUAAUCCAUUAAUUUGGUAAAUCCACCACAAUCUAACAAAGCUCUGUUACUCGGGGAGUCCCAUGGACACAGUACCCGUACAAAAUAAAGAUUCCAACAUAGAUAUGGGAGGGCAAAAUAGAGAGUCUGAAAAACAUAAUAGAAAAGCUUGAGAAGGGAAGUGGAUAAUGGACCAAUGAGAACAAGAAAAUAAAACAAUUAAACCCUAAUAUUUAUUCUCAUCCACUUAUUGAGUAGAAGGAUCAUGUCAUGAAAUCAAAAGAUUAUGGAAUAACUUGUAACAAAAUAUUUUUCCCGUAAUGAUAUACUAUAUCCCAUAUGAUUGAAGAAAAAGAAAAAUGACUUGCCUGACUUUCUUCACCAGAAUGGUGCAUAAUAGGCUCAUUAGAAUUGCUAAUACAAAUAAGAAACAAAAUGCUAUAAACCCAAAAGAGUAGUACAGCGACCCUAAAACAUGCUUUAACUUUUCCUUAAAGUUGUGACUCAAAUAUUUAAGAUCACAACAAAGUUCUCAUUUCAAUUGUUCUAAAUGCAACAACGAGCUGCAUGCAUAUUGACUUGUCUUGCUACAUUGAUUAAUAGUUUUUAACGUUGGAAAGGAAACACAAAAAAUUUAAGCUAUAGUGAUGAUUGAGUAAUAUUUCUGAGAUCUGAAUUAAAAUGUGUAAUACCUUUCCUAUUUCGGAUGGUAUGAAUUAUGCGUUAUGUUUCUUGUAGGGAGAUGUAAGUUGGCCUACCUACCUUCCAUUUUUGCCUAUAAAAGAAAUUUUUUGUUCAAUAUAAUACUGGAACUAAUAAGAAUUAGAAAAGUAUUUCUAUUUCCAGUCAAAGAAAAUUGAGACGUCAAAACCAGAAACCUUAUUGUAACUUGAAUGUUUGUGAUGUCUUUUGUAAGCAUUAUUUUCCAUUCAGUUGGUACUAGCUUAAUUAUCUUUAGUAAGGUUCUAUUUGAUAAUUUAACUCAGCACUCAAACUUAAUGGGUUCAGAUCAUAAUAUGUUCAAACGCAUUUGAUAACUAAAAAUAAGACAUUUGAAUUAAUUAAGUGACACUGAAUUUUGCACAAUUUAUUUCAAAAAUAAGUGAUAAAUUAUUCAAGUAUCACUUAAUGUGAUAUACAUUUAAAUGUUUCAGAUUUAAUACUCAACAAUUCAGUAAAUUAACGAAUUUAGACUUUAGAUUUCAAAUUUCAUUUUUCAAACUUUAGUUUUAUCAAACGUACCCUAAGGGUGUGUUUGAUAAAACUGAAGUCUGAAUCUAUUAAAUUAUUGAAUUUUUAAGUAUUAAAUCUAAUACAUUUGACUGCAUAUCACAUUCAGUAAUAAGUGAAUAGCUUAUCACUUAAUUUUGGGAGCAAAUUUUGCCUAGAAAAUUUAAUACUAUUUAAUUAAUUCAGAUGUUAAAUUUUUUAUUAUCAAAUGGUCUGAAUAUAUUAAAAAUUGAAUCCAUUAAGUUUAAAUGCUGAAUUGGAUUAUCAAACAGAAUCUAAGUCUAUUAAGGGGAUUGAACCAAUAAAUUUGAUGAGUUUCAGUUUAACAAUAUAUUUAACAAAUUAUCACUGCCCAAUAAGGGCCCAUCUAAAAACACUUGAAACAAGUGCAUGCUUGUUUGGUGAUUUCCGGCUGGGCUCCCGCUGCUCUUGCAGUGUCCAUUAACGAAUUCCUAUUGUCAAUUUUGGGUCGUAUAUCCACCAGCCCAUGGAAUUUAUUUACAAAGGGAAAUCCUUUUAAGUUGUGAAUUUAAUUAGUAUAACGAGAAAUAAUUUGAGAAAAUUACAACAAAGUACAAACCAUAUGUGCAAGUUUUCUCAAACACAUACCAAUUAUGAAUAGCUUAAGAAAUGAUGAAUAAAUCAUCUUUUUCAGCUUUUCUUUUUGGCCCAUUGUUAAAUCUUCUUUGUUCCCUCAACAAAAAAAAAAAGAAGAAAGAAAUAAACUUCAUCUUUUUAAUUAGUGAAUAAAAUGUAUAUGAAGAGAAAAAGAUAAUUAAAUAUCUUAAUACUAAAACAUAAUGCUACUUAAGAAGUUUCAAAAAUUUUGGUAUCAGUUAGUGAUAAUAAUUUCUCCUAACGCAUUCUUUUAUCUACUACAAAAAAAAAACGUUAUAACUUAUUAUAAAAACCAUCCAAAAUCACAUUGAUUCUUAAGUAUUCCCCUUUCUCCUUGUAAGGGAUGAAUUGCAUCCAAAUCAGGUUCCUUACAAGUGGCUAGCACCCUAAUGGCCUAAUCCAUGGAAGCCAUAUUACAAAAGUGGACUACAAAAGCUAGGGGAAUAUAAUUUCCCAUACUUCUUAUUGUAAUCAUUCCCAAUUUACCUUGGCAUAUACUGGUUUGUUACAAGACUUCAAUCGCUAGCUCUGAACCUCUGGCUAGUAUGUAAUGGCAGAUUAUCUACUAGGAUCAGAGGCAGUUACUAGAUUGGAAAUCAAUACCAGACUAGUAGUGCCCUUUAUCUUGUUGCUUUUGUAUCAUUGGGUUCUUGAAAACAAAAGGCUAGAGAAUCACACCGGGCACAAGUUGCAGUAAAUGAAUUUUGAUUGAACAUGAAUUUAGCAUUUUACCCACCUCAAAUGCUAUUCUGGAAAGUUGCCAAAACUGAAGUUUAAGCUCAAAAAACUGCUUGAACACUGCCCCAAACAGGGCCUUUUUUUUUUUUUUUUUUUUUUUUUUAAAAACUACUUGAGUAAGUUCUACGAAAUCCAGGACUAGAAACUCUUGUUCCACUUGAUACGCUGAUUGUCUUGAUGCCAUUUGCCUAACUUCUGAGUGGAUCGGGACUGGAGAAGGAAGACAAACGCAUGUGUGGCCUUCAUUUAUGCCCCGUCUGCUGCUUCAGAAUCUAGUUGCAGUUCCCGUCUAAGAGGAAGAAUCUAAAGGACAAAGAAACAAGCAGAAGACUUUAGUAGUCAUGAAAUUAUCAUUAGUCUCCUCAGGGCUGGAAUUUGAAAAAAACCCUGAAUACUAACAUGUUGAUAUUGGCUACCCAGAACAGAAAGUUAUCGCUAAAAUAAUUACAAGCUAAUACCAUCAUUUCUAAUUUUGAACUUACGUUUCAGUGUAUCUAAUCCUUAUUAAUUUGUAUAAUUGCUAAUUCUUUCUACUAAUUAAGUCAAAAGAGAAUUGUUUUGAAUGAUCUUUUUUCUUUUUCGAAAAUUGUAAUAUAAUAUUUUGAUCAUAAGCGCAUUUGAGAUUUUCAAAGAUGUUAGAUAGUGAUUCUUGAAAACAACGAAAAACUCCACCCAAACAGAUAAGCCAUGUCUGUAUCUUUUUUCUAUCUUUCUUAGAGGUAAUCCACGAAUUGGACACUAACUAAGAAAACAUCAUAACAUUGACAUAUUAGAACACUGAAGUUCACAUUACCAGAAGAAUAAAAAAUGAGGGAUGAGAACUGACUGAAAUUAUGCAGGAGGAUUAUUGAGAGAGAAGCAUCUUCGAAUCAUUCCUAGAAUACAAGACAAGACCAUCAACAUCUCUGAAAUUUCUCAUGUAGAAAAUUUGUUAAGAAGAUUAACAUGUACGCGCAAAAUGAUAGCAGCCAAUCGCCCUAUAUAAACCCCCAAGCUGUGGCAUCUUGAAACCACAACCAGCUACCAGUUCACUUAGAAUUUUUGAAACACCAUGAAGUUCACCUACAUUUUGUCCCUUUUGGUUUUGUGCCUAACUUUAUACUUCACUUUCGCCAAUGCUGCAAAUUUCAACAUCACAAACAAAUGUACCUACACAGUUUGGGCAGCUGCUUCCACAGGUGAUGGCAGGCAACUCGACCGAGGCCAAUCAUGGUCCCUAGAUGUGGCUCCUGGCACCACCAAAGCUCGCAUUUGGGGCCGAACCAAUUGCAAAUUUGAUGCCAAUGGCCAGGGCCAAUGUCAAACAGGUGACUGCAACAAGCGCCUCAAAUGCCAAGGCUAUGGAAAUCCACCAAAUACGCUAGCUGAAUUUGCCCUAAACCAGCCUAACAACUUAGACUACAUCGACAUCUCCAACGUUGAUGGAUUCAACAUCCCAAUGGAGUUCAGCUCUGUAACUCCGUGCCGCGUUAUCAAAUGUUCGAAACCUAUUGUUGAUCAAUGCCCAGCUCAGCUAAGAACUCCAGGUGGAUGCAACAACCCCUGCACUGUUUUUAAAAGAAAUGAGUACUGCUGCACCAAUGGCCCAGGAAGCUGUGGCCCGACCGACUUCUCCAGGUUCUUUAAGAGCAGGUGCCCUGAUGCUUAUAGCUAUCCUCAAGAUGAUCGCACAAGCUUGUUUGCUUGCCCAAGUGGUACAAAUUAUAGGGUUGUCUUCUGCCCUUAAAUAAAGCUAGAUAUUUAAGGUUCUUGUGACAGCUUAUAUGCUCCAAGAACUUCACCAGAAAAGUAGAUUAUGAGAAAUAAACGCAUAUGUGAACCUUGUGGUAAUGGUUCACUGGAAUUGGGAUAAGUUUGAGCACAUAUAGCAUUGUGCGAUUUGUCUUCUUUAUCAGCAUUUUGGCUCUUUAAACAACUUAUGAACUAGAUCACCAGUUCAAAACUAAUGAAGUUUUACUAAAUUAAUCUGUAAGAAGGAUUUACAGAUCUCUAGUUUUAAAUUAGAUUGUCAAAAUACUUUGUUCCCCGCACUUCAAAAAUUUGAGUCAUAUUUAGGUUUAACUUACACAGGAGAAUUCCUUUUUUUUGGAAUUCAGACUAUCUCUCCAGUCAAAUACUAAGGUGUCAUAUAAAUCAAAAUAAUUUGUUUUAGUGUAUUACAUAAUGUUACCACGAAAUCCAGAGUAAGAGAAGUUUGUCUUACAAACAUUGAAGAAAUGGGAUGUUGGUGUAAAUUCAAAACAAAAAUGGGGAUUUCCAUGCUAAGGUAGACCCCAAAACAAUUGAAAAUGAUAAUCUCAUGAAAUAACAAAGAUGGUGAUAUGAAAGUUUACUAAGUAAGAUAAAGGUGCAAUUAAGGAGCUCAAGUGAUGUGGAAACUCGUAGAUGCCAAAUUGAUAAUUUGAUGCACUCAUGCUAAAUAGUACUAAUUCACUCUUAAAAGCUGGAAUUGGAGCCACUGCUAGAAGUUCCAUGAAGUUCAGUUCAAUUGUUAUAUUUAUUACGUAAUAUUAUUAUGCUUUUGGAAAAAGUAAUAUACAUGAACGAAAAUACUUGGUAUGUAGUGAAUACAACAUUAUAAUGUAGUUGUCUACCAAAAAUUUAAAUACACACAAUAAAAUAAUGCAUAUCUAUUCAAAUUAUGUAUCAGAAAAGAGUUAAAUAUUGCUCUAAGGAUAAAAAAUUAAGUGAUUAUAUAAUUGUUUUGAACGCUAUUUUUAGGAAAAUCAUUAUAUAGCAUCUUAGUGAUAACUGCUUUUGUGAUAUUAAAAGAUGUUAGAAAUAAUUCCUGAAAUUAAUCUGGUUAAAAAACGCUCCAUUCAAACAGAAAAUUCAUGUCCUUUUUUUUCUUUUUUGGUCUUUCGUAGAGGUAAUCCACAAAUUGGACACUUACGAAAAAGCAUUGGAACAUUGAUUGAAAGAACAACGAGGGAUGAGAACUGACUGAAAUUAUGCAGGAGGAUUAUGGACAGAUCCGCAUCUUUUGAAUCAUUCCUAGGAUACAAAACAAGACCAUCAACAUCCCUAAAAUUUCUAUGUAGAAAUUUGUUGAAAUAUCAACACUUCCAUGCAAAAUCAUAGCAACCAAUUCACCUAUAUAAACCCCCUGGCUGUGGCAUCUCCAAACCACAACAGCUACCAGUUGAAUUGGAAGGUUUUGAAGCACCAUGAAUUUCACCUACACUUUGUCACUUUUGGUUUUGUGCCUAGCUUUAUACUUAACCUUCACCAAUAGCUGCAAAUUUCAACAUUAACAAAAUAAACACAUAAAACAAUUAAACCUUUACCAUGUAUUCUCUUUUACUUAUUGAUCGGUCACAUCAUGAAAUACAAAAGGAUUAUAGAAUUACUUACUUAUAUAAAUAUAUUCCAGGGUAAUGUUAUCUAUUCCAUAUGAUUGAUGAAAAGCGAAAAUGACUUGCCUGUCUUUCUUCGUCAGAAGAGUACCUAAUAGCCGCACUAGAAUUGCCAGCACAAAUAAGAAAUAAAAUGCUGUAAAACCAAAAAGAGCAGUGCAGCCACUGUUGGCUUCUAAAUAUCAGCAUAGUGAUUGUUAUGGCUACAACAACUAACCACCCGAAAACAUGUUUUAACUUUUCCUUAAAGUUGUGACUUAAAUGUUCAACAUCUUAAUGUAAGAGGAAGGAUUCAAUUCCCAGACCUCUUACUUGCACUCCCUCCCCUUUAAACUAUUCAACUCAUCUCAUCCCCGAGUUGUAUGUAUAUUGACUUGUCUUGUUAUAUUAAUUAAUAUCUUUUAACGUUGGAAAGGAAAUACAAAAAGUUUAAACUAUAGUGAUGAUUGACUAAUUUUUGUGAGAUCUGAAUUGCCAUGUGCAAUACCUUGAAGGUGUAAAUUGACCUACCCACCUUCCAUCUUUUACUACUGCUGGGCAAUUAAAAUAAUUUUUCUUUGUUCAAUAUAAUAGUGGAAUUGGUAAGAAUUAGGAGAGUAUUUCUAUUUCUAGUCUAAGAAAAUUGAACAAAUUUGACAAAUUUCAGUUUAAAAAUAUUGACAAAUUAUCACUGCCCGAUACGGGCCCAGUCCAUCUAAAACACGCUUGAAGCACAGAGCAGAUUGAUUUGGUGGUUUCCGGUUGGGCUUCCGGUCCUUGAUCCGCGUCUAUUAACGAAUUCGUAUUGUCAAUAUUGGGCCGUAUAAUCCACCAGCCCAUGGAAUUUAAUUUAGGAAAAUAAAUUUCUUUUAAGUUGUGAAUUUAAUUAGUAGAACGAGAAACAAUUCAGAAAAUUAGUAUAAAGUACAAACCAUAUAGUACAUGUUUUUCUCAAUAAAAUACCAAUUAUGACUAGCUUAAGGAAUUGAUAAAUAAUUCAUCUUUGUUCAGCUUUUCCUUUUGGGUGAUUCCCAUUAAUAAAAUCAUCUUUGUUCUCUCAAAAAAAAAGAAAAGAAAAGAAAAGAAAGAAAGAAACGAACUCCAUCCUUUUAAGUGGUAAAUAAAAUGAAUAAAAAGAAAAAUGCAAAUAAAUAUCUUAACACUGCAAAAAAGAAAUUGAUAUUGAAACAUACUGAUAUUUAAGAAGUUUUUAUAAAUUUUGGCAUCACCUACAGAUAAAAUGAUAUCUCUGUAAUGUGCCUUUUAUUAACUAUAAAAAAAAAAUACGUUACAGAGGUUCCAGUGGCAGAGGUAGAAAUACUUUUCAGUUGGGGCACGAAUUAACUUUCCCAAUUUUUUUCCAAUUUACAAGUGGCUAAUAAUAACAAAAGAUUAUUUUUUUAAAGGAUCAAAUCUAAUAGACUGAUAAACCACCACUGCUUUGUUAAUGAAAAAUGCAAAGCUAUGGGCCAAGGUAAGGUAAAUAUGCAAGCAAAAGUACGUUGGAACUUGGCAUCUAAAGAUUUGCAGCUAUUUGCUUUCUUCUUUGUUUACGUUUUGAUAAAUUAUACAAUAAUGACUAUGCUAUAUAAUAACUAUUUCAAAAUCCAGCCAAGGCACAAUUUAGAAUUUUCAAGAAAUCUCAAAACUAUUCUAGGUACCUCAUUUGGGUCAAUAGGGAUAUGUGCCCCAUUGGCCACAACGUAAAUCUACCCUUUUUUUUAGUAAAAAAAGUUUGGGUGAAUUUGAUUUCGAUUAUCGUCACGGGUCAAAAUCUGUUUCCGGAACUAUAAGUCGCUUGCAGAAGUUCUUAUAAAUCACCCAACAACAGAGACCUCACAAUGUAAAUCCACUUAUAGGUUCUUAGUUCGACGAUCUGAAGCUUUCCUUUGCCAUAAUAAAGCAUGAACUACAUUCAAACUGCAUUCCUUACACUGGGCACAAGUAGCAGUAAAUGAAUUUUGAUUGAAUAUGAAUUUAGCAUUUUAGGCUUGUAGCAACCAGAAAUGCUAUUCUGGAAAGUUGCCAAAACUAAAGUUUAAGCACAAAAAACUGCUUGAACACUUCACGAAACUGCCCAAAUUGGGCUUUUAAUUUUUUUUCUCCAAUUACUUGAGUAACCUCUACGAAAUCCUGGAAUAGAAACUCUUGUUCUACUUGAUAUCCUGAUUGAAUUGUCUAAGCUUCUUGAAGCUAUUUGCCUAACAUUCGCUGGUCUCAGACUUGAGUAGGAAGACAAACAGACGUAUGGUCAUGAUUUGUGCCCAUUCGGCUGCACCAAAAUCUUGUUGAAACUCUAGACUAAGAGGAAGAUUCCAAAGAAAAAUAUCAAAACAGAAGACUUUAGGAGUUACGAAAUUGGCAUUUAGUCUCCUUGGGUGUGGAAUUUGAAAUCAUCAUCAAUACUAACAUGUUGAUAUUGACUACCUCACAACAGAAAGUUAUCGCGAAAAUAAUUAGAUGCUAAUACCAAACGUUUUAAUCUCUAACCAUCAUUUCUUAUGUUAAACAUAGGUUUUAGCGUAGCUAAUCAAUAUAUGUACAAUUGCUAAUUUUUUCCACUAAUUAAGUCAAAAGAUAAUUGUUUUGAAUGGUGUUUUUGCGAAAAUUCCAAUAAAAUAUUUUGUUAAUAAACACAUUUGAUAUUUUCAGAGAUGUUAGAUAGUGAUUCCUGAAAACAGUGAGGUUGAAAAAACAUUUCAACCAAACAGAUAAGUCAUGUCUGUUUCUUUUUUCUAUCUUAGAGAAUUGGACACUAAAGAAAAGAAAUUGUAACAUUGAUAUAUAGAACAGUCAAGUUCACAUCACCAGAAGAAUAAACAAUGGGGGAUGAGAUUAUGCAGAAUAUGGACGGAUAAGCAUCUUUGAAUCAUUCCUAGAAUACAAGAAAGGGCCAUCAACAUCUCUGAAAUUUCUCAUGUAGAAAAUUUGUUAAGAAGAUUAACAUGUACACGCAAAAUGAUAGCAGCCAAUCGCCCUAUAUAAACCCCCUACCUGUGGCAUCUUGAAACCACAGCCAGCUACUAAUUCACUUAGAAAGUUUGAAACACCAUGAAGUCCACCUACACUUUGUCCCUUUUGGCUUUAUGCCUAACUUUAUACUUAACCUUCACCAAUGCCGCAAAUUUCAACAUUAUAAACCAAUGUACCUACACAGUUUGGGCAGCUGCUUCCCCAGGCGGUGGCAGGCGGCUCGACCGAGGCCAAUCAUGGUCCCUAGACGUGGCUCCUGGCACCACCCAAGCUCGCAUUUGGGGCCGAACCAAUUGCAACUUUGAUGCCAAUGGCCAAGGCCACUGUCAAACAGGUGACUGCAACGGGCGCCUCGAAUGCCAAGGCUAUGGAAGUCCACCGAAUACGCUAGCUGAGUUCGCUCUAAACCAGCCUAACAACUUAGACUACAUCGACAUUUCCAACGUUGAUGGAUUCAACAUCCCAUUGGAGUUCAGCUCCGUUACUUCUUGCCGUGACAUCCGAUGUUCAGCGCCUAUUGUUGAUCAAUGCCCAGCUCAGCUAAGAACUCCAGGUGGAUGCAACAAUCCCUGCACUGUUUUUCACACAAAUGAGUAUUGUUGCACCAAUGGCCCAGGAAGCUGUGCCCCUACCGACUUAUCCAGGUUCUUCAAGGACAGGUGCCCUGAUGCUUAUAGCUAUCCUCAAGAUGAUCGCACAAGCUUGUUUACUUGCCCAAGUGGUACAAAUUAUAGGGUUGUCUUCUGCCCUUAAAUAAAGCUAGAUAUUUAAGAAAAGUAGAUUAUGAAGAAAUAAACGGAUAUGAGAACCAUCUUGUAAUGGUUCACUGAAAUUGGAAUAAAUUUGAGCACAUAUAGCAUUGUGCGGUUUGUCUUCUUUAUCAGCUUUUUGGCUCUUUAAACUACUUAUGAACUACAUCACUGCUUACCAAAUUAAUCUGUAAGAUGGAUUUACACAUCCCUUGCUCUGACCCCUGAUUGCAUUUCUUCAAUUUCAAAACUGAGUUACCAUGUUAAUUAGAAAACACAGUGUCCAUGGAUUUUAGUGGUUUUAUUAUCCAUUACGAUUUGUAAUAAAAGAUCCUGGAGAAAAACAAAAUAACAACAACGCAGACAAAAAAAGUUAUACGAUAAAAUUAAAAAAAAAGUAAAAAGUUCUUUUACCCCAUCUAACUUAGCCAUAUAAGAAAAGAAGCUACAAAGUUCAGGAGCAGCCAAGAAUACAUCCACUUUGCAAACAAUUGAUCCGUUUCCUUUUCUUCCACCUGUCAUACUCCUUUCUGUUUUCCUUUCUCUUUUCUUCAAGUAUCAUCCAUGAAUCAGUUCCAGCAAUUUGAGGUAACAAUAAAAUCUAGGCUGUUCGGUGUCGUGGUUCAAUGGAUCUGAUACCACAUCUUGGACGGGUACAAGCUUUGCCCGUCCUCCAUACUACUCUGGCAAAGUUUCUUCGCCUAUGUCCUGGAUAAAAUCCCCCCUUUCCUCUUCAUUAAUCAUGAUCUUAAUCUGUGUUUAUCAUUUAAAAGUAGCUAGUUAAUCACGAUUUUAGAAAAAAACAUGUUUACUCGAAAUUUUUGGAUUUGGAAAUCUAAACGCAAUUAUAUGCUACUUUUUGUACCCAUAAUCAAUGAAUAGAUAUUGAGCGAUGCUGUUACAUGUUUCUGCAAUCAGGCAAAAGAGACAAAUAUAAGCCACAAAUGGCUCAAAUUAAGUGAGAUCUUAGAAUCUUUGAAUUCAUAGAAACGAACAACGGAUCUUCAAUAACUGCUCCUCUGGUUGAUCACAUAAAGAGGCUAACUAUCUGCGUUCUGUAAUCGAUUAAGCAAUAGUACGAAUGGUUUUUUUCAACUCAUUGGGAUCAUGAUGUGACUGGAAAGUUUUAUUUCUGUUGAAAAUUAAAUUAAUUAGCUUCAUACUCUUGCAGAACAAUAAUCUUCCAGUGGGAAAACAAGAUGGGAAGAAAAGGAAAGAAAAGAUCACUUUCUGUCGACUUCUACAAUCAAUAAAAAGCUCCAUUAAUUAACCAAAAAAAGAAGAAGAAGAAGAUGGAUCUUGUAUUGGUUCGUUGUCUUUAAGUAUUUCUGCACAAUAUUGUCUUGUUUUGACAAGUGAUAGUCGCACAUAGAGGGCAGUCUCUUGCAAGCCUUUCAAAGCAAGAUGCAAGUAAACACAUAUGCUCGAACAGAGAACUUAAAUUGCAUUUGCUUACUUUGACAAGUUUAAUGGCUUCAUCCUACGUAUGGAUGGAAGCAGUACUUUAGUUAUUAUCUGCCUGCUAAUUUUAAGAAAGAUCUUUUAUAUGUUUAAAUUUGCAGAAAUGGUUGCAUAUCAGAAAGACCUUCUCAAGAGUUGCUCUCUCAAGGAAGUAUGAAACCAUCCUCCAUACACUCACAAAGAACCAGGGUAUAUGUACAAUGUAACACUUGGCCAAGCACUCAGGGUAGCAAGCCAACACAAAUAAGAGAUUCGAAUGUAAUAUCGUAACGAGAAAGAAUUGCACAACUCCAAGGUGAAUGAGUAGGACCAGUCAUUGUGUCACGGUAAAACAGGAAUCUUUCUUGAAUUUGAAUGUGGAAAGAUCUGAUCAUUGUCCUUUUCCAUGGAUCCGAAUUUUAUCUGACCUUAAGUUUAAAGAUCUCAGCCGAUAACCUUAAUGAUCCAUGGUUUGACAUGAAUCUAUUACAGUAAGUCAGAACAAGAAUCUGUCUUGAGGAAUUUGCUAACUGAGGGUAGUAGCACUAAAACCAUUUUCCAAUAGAGGUCCUAGAAUUACACUUAAAUUAGGGAUAUGAAGAACCUCACAUGUAAAAUUUAAUGGCAGCAAGGUAAUACUUUUUGAACAGCAUAGAAGUCUACUCGGAGAAACUCAAAUUCAACGGAUGUUUCUGCAUGCUGAUUGAAUUUUCUAAGCUUCAUGAAGUCAUCUGCCUAACUCUUGACUGGGAUCAGAAUAGAGAACGAAGACAAACAGGUGUAUGGUCUUGAUUUAUGCCCAAUCUGCAACUCCAAAAUCUUGUUGAAAUUCUAGACUAUGAGGAAUAAUAUUAAAAAAAACAUAGUUACGAUAUUAUCAUUAGUCUCUCCAGUUGUGUGAUUUUGAAAUGAUCGUCGCUACCAAAAUGUUGAGAUUGACUACCGCAUAACAGAAAGUUAUCGCUAAAAUAAUUAGAAGCUAAUAUCAAAUGUUUUAAUCCCAGAUCAUCAUUUAUUAUUUUGAACAUAGAUUUCAAUAUGGCCAAUCAAUUUUUGUAUAAUUGCUAGUUCUUUCCACUAAUUAAGUCAUAAGAUAAUUGCUUUGCACAGUGAUUUUAGGAGAAUUGUAAUAUAAUAUUUUGUUAAUAAGCGCAUUUGUGAUAUUAAGAAAUGUUAGAAAGUGAUUCCUGAAAACAGUGUGGUUGAAAAACACUCCACCCAAAAGGAUAAUUCAUGUCUGUUUCUUUUUUAUAUCUUAGAUAGAGGUAAUCCACGAAUUGGACACUAGAGGAACGACAUGUAAGGUUGAUCUUUAAAACAGUCAAGAUUUACAUCACCAGAAGAAUAAAAAAAAGGGCAAAAUACACUGUGUCCUCCAGUGGUUUAGCAUUUUUCACAUAACCCGCUUAUGAUUUCAAAAGUUACAUAUAACUCUCUUAUGGUUUCGAUUAAAGUAUUAAGGUGAAAAAAAUUUGCAUUCCACAACGGAGUCAACUAAAAUGUCAAAAUUAUCCCUAUGUAAAGUUAAAAAUUAUUUAUUUACUACAGGGGAUUCUAUAUAUAUUUAAAAAUCAUAAGGAGAUUAUAUGGUAAAACAAUAAAUCAUAAAGAAGUUAUAUGCUAAAAUAUAAAACCAUAUGGGGCUAGAGUGUCAUGCAUAUUAUAUUUAUAAAUUUUUGUCACUUCACCCAUUUUAGUUUUAAACAAGAAUAACUUAGAUAUUUUCAUGAGUUCGGUUAUAAAUGAUCAUUUCUAUCGCUUUGACACUUUAAUUCAAAUUAUGAGAGGUUAUAUAUAGUUUUUAAAACUAUAGGUGGGUCAUGUGAAAAUUUGCUAAAUCACAUGAUAAUAAAGUGUAUUUUGCCAAAUAAAAAAUGAGGGAUGAGAGCUGACUGAAAUUAUGCAGAAGGAUAACGGCUAGAUCAGCAUCUUUGAAUCAUUCCUAGCUAGUAUACAAGAUAACCAUCAAAAUCUCUGAAAUUUCUUAUGUAGAAAAUUGGUGAAGAAGAUUAACGUGUACACGCAAGUUAAUAGCAGCCAAUCACCCUUUGUAAACCGCCAGCUGUGGCAUCUUGAAAACACAAUAGCUACUAGUUCACUUUGAAAGUUAGAAACACCAUGAAGUUCAACUACACCUUGUCCCUUUUAGUUUCGUGCUUCAUUUUAUACUUAACCUUCACCAAUGCUGCAAAUUUCAACAUUAUAAACCAAUGUACCUACACAGUUUGGGCAGCUGCUUCCCCAGGGGGUGGCAGGCGGCUCGACCGAGGCCAAUCGUGGUCCCUAGAUGUGGCUCCUGGCACCACCAACGCUCGCAUUUGGGGCCGAACAAAUUGC